UUUGCAUAAUGAGCCAGCGAGUUGCUCGUAUGUUGCAAGGUUAAUCCCCUAAAGGGAGAAGCCGUAGCGAAAGCAAGUCUGAAUAGGGCGAUUAAGUAACAUGCGGCAGACCCGAAGCCAAGUGAUCUAUCCAUGGCCAGGUUGAAGCGGCAGUAACAUGUCGUGGAGGACCGAACCCACCAGGGUUGAAAACCUGGGGGAUGAGCUGUGGAUAGGGGUGAAAGGCCAAUCAAACUUGGCGAUAUCUGGUUCUCCCCGAAAUGCCUUUAGGGGCAGCGUCGUGGGAGUGCCUCGGGGGUAGAGCACUGGAUGGACUAGGGGCCCUACAAGGUUACCAAACCCAACCAAACUCCGAAUACCGAGGUUAUGAUCUACGGCAGUGAGGCCGCGGGGGAUAAGCUUCGUGGCCGAGAGGGAAACAACCCAGACCAACAGCUAAGGUCCCAAAAUCUGAGUUAAGUGACAAAGGAUGUGAGAUUGCCCAGACAGCUAGGAGGUUGGCUUAGAAGCAGCCAUCCUUUAAAGAAAGCGUAACAGCUCACUAGUCAAGGAAUCUUGCGCCGAUAAUCUCCGGGACUUUAAAACUCAGUACCGAAGCUCUGGUCCCGACAUCUUGUGUGUCGGGAGGUAGGGGAGCGUUCCAUCAACCUGUGAAGUUCCAGCCGGGAGGCGGAAUGGAGGAAAUGGAAGUGAGAAUGCUGGCAUGAGUAGCGAUAAUUCCAGUGAAAUUCUGGGACACCGAAAGCCUAAGGUUUCCUGAGUAAAGUAACUCUACUCAGGGUUAGUCGGUUCCUAAGCCGAGGCCGAAAGGCGUAGGCGAUGGAUAACAGGUCAACAUUCCUGUACCACCCACUUAUCGUUUGAACGAUGGGGGGACGCAGAAGUGAAAGAUCAGCCCGGUUUUGAUUGUCCGGGUUUAAGUGUGUAGAGAGUUUCGGCAGGCAAAUCCACCGGAAUAAUCUUGAGACACGAAUAGGAGGGCCUAGCCCACAAACUGAUCCUAAUCAUACUGCCAAGAAAAUCCUCUAAGUGAGAUGAUUGGGUGACCGUACCGUAAUCGGACACACGUAGGCGAGAAGAGUAUUCUAAGGUGCUUGGUUUAAUCCUGGUAAAGGAACUCGGCAAAUUGGCCCCGUAACUUCGGGAGAAGGGGCGCCUCCAGUAGGUUGAAGGCCUUCGCGGCUGAAGCCCAAAGAGGUCGCAGAGAAUAGACUCGGGCGACUGUUUACCAAAAACACAGGUCUCUGCUAAGUCGCAAGACGAAAUAUAGGGACUGACACCUGCCCGGUGCCGGAAGGUUAAGUAGAGGGGUUAUCCCGAACUUGUUCGGGAGAAGCUCUGAAACGAAGCCCCGGUGAACGGCGGCCGUAACUAUAACGGUCCUAAGGUAGCGAAAUUCCUUGUCGGGUAAGUUCCGACCCGCACGAAUGGUGUAACGACUUGAGUACUGUCUCUACCAGGAGACCAGCGAAAUUGUAGCGUCGGUGAAGAUGCCGGCUAACCGCGGCAGGACGGAAAGACCCCGUGAACCUUUACUAUAACCUGAUAUUGGGUUUU
RNAcentral lists this ribosomal RNA (1557 nucleotides) under marine metagenome. RNAcentral's name for it is "bacterial LSU rRNA". It matches the Rfam family "Bacterial large subunit ribosomal RNA", at positions 607 to 2125 of the family's 2925-position model. The record is from RNAcentral.